ACAAAGUAUCUAGAAUUUGUUUUUUCUUCAUUUCCUUCCAUUGGGAACUAUGAACAUCACAAAAUUGUCAUCAUAGGUUGGAUGCAUCUAAUUUACCCUCAAGCGAAUAAGAAUUGCAUACACCCAUUUCUUUCUCUCAGAGUCAAAAGCUAUUUUGAAAUCACUUGUUUAUGUCUUUCUUAAAUUACUCGGUACACUAGCUUGGCACCACGGGAGGGUUUACUUUUAUGAUUGCUCGGGAGGAGUUUUGUUUUGGUCAAAGCGGCUGGCCUGAAAAAAUUAGAAAGUAGCCUCCUGCCAAUGGUUCAAAUUAUGUCAGUGGUACUUACUCUAACUUGUAGAUAAAUAGGCUAAGCAAGAAAGCAAGACACUGUUCAUCAGCUUGCUCUAUUGAACUACAUUUGCCGCAAUUACGUAGAAAUUGGUGGGGUUGAUAAGGCCACCGCGCAGGUACUUCCUCCUAACAAAUCCGAGACAGCCAGGGGGAAAAGGCAGGAGGGGAAAAAGGAACAACACACGAGAUUGAUAUGAUCUUGGCUCGAAUUUUUAGGUUGUCGACUUUCUAAGCUUUUGCAAUACUUGAGACGCCCAGGUUAGCUGUCAAUGAAUAAAAUGAAAUGAUGAUACAAUAGUUGAUUUCCAAAUUAGUAGUAUCUUAUCUCGGUUCAGUACAUUUUGAUUCUUACUAUGCGACUUCGUUAAUAUCUUAGCUUCAAUUCUCAGACUCGUAUAAGAUCUCCAAUUUUCCUACGUCUUCCAAUGCUGCCGGCCGCCAGCAUCAGUAUCUCCGACCAAUAGUAUCUCAAUUCAAGAUUUCUGUCUGGUUUCAUUUAACACGAGGAUUGUUGAUUCUUCGAAAUUAAAACCAAAAAGAAAAAAGAAAA
This is a long non-coding RNA of Neltuma alba, 884 nucleotides long. RefSeq lists it as uncharacterized. NCBI's taxonomy places the organism in Eukaryota, Viridiplantae, Streptophyta, Magnoliopsida, Fabales, Fabaceae. The transcript is spliced from 2 exons. The record is from RefSeq and is a predicted model, not a curated record.